CCUACGGGAGGCAGCAGUGGGGAAUAUUGCGCAAUGGGCGAAAGCCUGACGCAGCGACGCCGCGUGAGGGAUGAAGGUCUUCGGAUCGUAAACCUCUGUCAGCAGGGAAGAACGGUCACUGUGCUAAUCAGCAGUGAAUUGACGGUACCUGCAAAGGAAGCACCGGCUAACUCCGUGCCAGCAGCCGCGGUAAUACGGAGGGUGCGAGCGUUAAUCGGAGUUACUGGGCGUAAAGCGCUCGUAGGCGGUAUGUCAAGUCAAGGGUGAAAUCCCCGCGCUCAACGUGGGAACUGCCUUUGAAACUGGCAGACUGGAGAGUGUGAGAGGAUGGUGGAAUGCCAGGUGUAGGAGUGAAAUCCGUAGAUAUCUGGAGGAACAUCAGUGGCGAAGGCGACUAUCUGGCACAUAACUGACGCUGAGGAGCGAAAGCGUGGGUAGCAAACAGGAUUAGAUACCCGUGUAGUC
This 465-nucleotide ribosomal RNA is filed under the name uncultured bacterium. RNAcentral describes it as "partial 16S ribosomal RNA". It matches the Rfam family "Bacterial small subunit ribosomal RNA", at positions 338 to 795 of the family's 1533-position model. The record is from RNAcentral.